GACAAGUGCUCCUCCAAUUGUGA
This 23-nucleotide non-coding RNA is filed under the name Arabidopsis thaliana (thale cress). Lineage: Eukaryota; Viridiplantae; Streptophyta; Magnoliopsida; Brassicales; Brassicaceae. The record is from RNAcentral.